Molecule: ribosomal RNA, 2904 nt
Filed under: Escherichia coli
Lineage: Bacteria; Pseudomonadati; Pseudomonadota; Gammaproteobacteria; Enterobacterales; Enterobacteriaceae
Description: 23S ribosomal RNA
Rfam family: Bacterial large subunit ribosomal RNA
Source: RNAcentral
GGUUAAGCGACUAAGCGUACACGGUGGAUGCCCUGGCAGUCAGAGGCGAUGAAGGACGUGCUAAUCUGCGAUAAGCGUCGGUAAGGUGAUAUGAACCGUUAUAACCGGCGAUUUCCGAAUGGGGAAACCCAGUGUGUUUCGACACACUAUCAUUAACUGAAUCCAUAGGUUAAUGAGGCGAACCGGGGGAACUGAAACAUCUAAGUACCCCGAGGAAAAGAAAUCAACCGAGAUUCCCCCAGUAGCGGCGAGCGAACGGGGAGCAGCCCAGAGCCUGAAUCAGUGUGUGUGUUAGUGGAAGCGUCUGGAAAGGCGCGCGAUACAGGGUGACAGCCCCGUACACAAAAAUGCACAUGCUGUGAGCUCGAUGAGUAGGGCGGGACACGUGGUAUCCUGUCUGAAUAUGGGGGGACCAUCCUCCAAGGCUAAAUACUCCUGACUGACCGAUAGUGAACCAGUACCGUGAGGGAAAGGCGAAAAGAACCCCGGCGAGGGGAGUGAAAAAGAACCUGAAACCGUGUACGUACAAGCAGUGGGAGCACGCUUAGGCGUGUGACUGCGUACCUUUUGUAUAAUGGGUCAGCGACUUAUAUUCUGUAGCAAGGUUAACCGAAUAGGGGAGCCGAAGGGAAACCGAGUCUUAACUGGGCGUUAAGUUGCAGGGUAUAGACCCGAAACCCGGUGAUCUAGCCAUGGGCAGGUUGAAGGUUGGGUAACACUAACUGGAGGACCGAACCGACUAAUGUUGAAAAAUUAGCGGAUGACUUGUGGCUGGGGGUGAAAGGCCAAUCAAACCGGGAGAUAGCUGGUUCUCCCCGAAAGCUAUUUAGGUAGCGCCUCGUGAACUCAUCUCCGGGGGUAGAGCACUGUUUCGGCAAGGGGGUCAUCCCGACUUACCAACCCGAUGCAAACUGCGAAUACCGGAGAAUGUUAUCACGGGAGACACACGGCGGGUGCUAACGUCCGUCGUGAAGAGGGAAACAACCCAGACCGCCAGCUAAGGUCCCAAAGUCAUGGUUAAGUGGGAAACGAUGUGGGAAGGCCCAGACAGCCAGGAUGUUGGCUUAGAAGCAGCCAUCAUUUAAAGAAAGCGUAAUAGCUCACUGGUCGAGUCGGCCUGCGCGGAAGAUGUAACGGGGCUAAACCAUGCACCGAAGCUGCGGCAGCGACGCUUAUGCGUUGUUGGGUAGGGGAGCGUUCUGUAAGCCUGUGAAGGUGUGCUGUGAGGCAUGCUGGAGGUAUCAGAAGUGCGAAUGCUGACAUAAGUAACGAUAAAGCGGGUGAAAAGCCCGCUCGCCGGAAGACCAAGGGUUCCUGUCCAACGUUAAUCGGGGCAGGGUGAGUCGACCCCUAAGGCGAGGCCGAAAGGCGUAGUCGAUGGGAAACAGGUUAAUAUUCCUGUACUUGGUGUUACUGCGAAGGGGGGACGGAGAAGGCUAUGUUGGCCGGGCGACGGUUGUCCCGGUUUAAGCGUGUAGGCUGGUUUUCCAGGCAAAUCCGGAAAAUCAAGGCUGAGGCGUGAUGACGAGGCACUACGGUGCUGAAGCAACAAAUGCCCUGCUUCCAGGAAAAGCCUCUAAGCAUCAGGUAACAUCAAAUCGUACCCCAAACCGACACAGGUGGUCAGGUAGAGAAUACCAAGGCGCUUGAGAGAACUCGGGUGAAGGAACUAGGCAAAAUGGUGCCGUAACUUCGGGAGAAGGCACGCUGAUAUGUAGGUGAAGCGACUUGCUCGUGGAGCUGAAAUCAGUCGAAGAUACCAGCUGGCUGCAACUGUUUAUUAAAAACACAGCACUGUGCAAACACGAAAGUGGACGUAUACGGUGUGACGCCUGCCCGGUGCCGGAAGGUUAAUUGAUGGGGUCAGCGCAAGCGAAGCUCUUGAUCGAAGCCCCGGUAAACGGCGGCCGUAACUAUAACGGUCCUAAGGUAGCGAAAUUCCUUGUCGGGUAAGUUCCGACCUGCACGAAUGGCGUAAUGAUGGCCAGGCUGUCUCCACCCGAGACUCAGUGAAAUUGAACUCGCUGUGAAGAUGCAGUGUACCCGCGGCAAGACGGAAAGACCCCGUGAACCUUUACUAUAGCUUGACACUGAACAUUGAGCCUUGAUGUGUAGGAUAGGUGGGAGGCUUGGAAGUGUGGACGCCAGUCUGCAUGGAGCCGACCUUGAAAUACCACCCUUUAAUGUUUGAUGUUCUAACGUUGACCCGUAAUCCGGGUUGCGGACAGUGUCUGGUGGGUAGUUUGACUGGGGCGGUCUCCUCCUAAAGAGUAACGGAGGAGCACGAAGGUUGGCUAAUCCUGGUCGGACAUCAGGAGGUUAGUGCAAUGGCAUAAGCCAGCUUGACUGCGAGCGUGACGGCGCGAGCAGGUGCGAAAGCAGGUCAUAGUGAUCCGGUGGUUCUGAAUGGAAGGGCCAUCGCUCAACGGAUAAAAGGUACUCCGGGGAUAACAGGCUGAUACCGCCCAAGAGUUCAUAUCGACGGCGGUGUUUGGCACCUCGAUGUCGGCUCAUCACAUCCUGGGGCUGAAGUAGGUCCCAAGGGUAUGGCUGUUCGCCAUUUAAAGUGGUACGCGAGCUGGGUUUAGAACGUCGUGAGACAGUUCGGUCCCUAUCUGCCGUGGGCGCUGGAGAACUGAGGGGGGCUGCUCCUAGUACGAGAGGACCGGAGUGGACGCAUCACUGGUGUUCGGGUUGUCAUGCCAAUGGCACUGCCCGGUAGCUAAAUGCGGAAGAGAUAAGUGCUGAAAGCAUCUAAGCACGAAACUUGCCCCGAGAUGAGUUCUCCCUGACCCUUUAAGGGUCCUGAAGGAACGUUGAAGACGACGACGUUGAUAGGCCGGGUGUGUAAGCGCAGCGAUGCGUUGAGCUAACCGGUACUAAUGAACCGUGAGGCUUAACCUU